UUAAAGUUUUAUUCUUGCUUAAUGAUUUAUUAAUAAUAUAUUUUACAUGUAAGUAUUUGUGUGAUAUAUUAAAUACUUUAAAAGUUUUUAUUUGUAUUUUAUUCGCAGUAAUUGAUAUUAUAUAUUAAAGAAAUUUAGAGUUAGUAAUAUUAUAUAAUAUUGGUUAAAUUUGUGCCAGCUACCGCGGUUAUACAAGGAAUGUGAAUAAAUCUUAUUAGUAUUAGUUAAAUUGUUGUUUUAUUAAAAUUAUUUUUAAUUUUAUUAGGUGAAAUUUUAAAGUUAAUUGAGUUUUAUUUUUAGUAUUUUUGAGGCUAGAAAAUUUUAUUAUUAAACUAGGAUUAGAUACCCUAUUAUUUAAAAUGUAAAAUUUAAUGCUUGAGUAGUAUUAGAUAUGGUCUUGAAACUUAAAGAAUUUGGCGGUGUUUUAGUCUAUUCAGAGGAACCUGUUCUGUAAUUGAUGUUCCACGGUGUACCUUACUUAAAUUUGUCUUUCAAUUUGUAUAUCGCUGUUAUUUGAAUAUUUUAUAAGAAGAAUAAUUUUCAAUAAUUUAUAUAAAAAUCUAUGUCAAGUCAAGGUGCAGUUAAUAUUUAAGUAGAAAUGGGUUACAAUAGAUUUAUUUAUGCGGAUGUAGAAUUUAAAUAUUUUAUUUAAGAUGGAUUUGAUAGUAAAAUUAUAAAGAUAAAUAGUUUGAUUAUAGCUCUAAAAUAUGCACAUAUCGCCCGUCGCUCUUAUUAUUAAAAUAAGAUAAGUCGUAACAUAGUAGAUGUACUGGAAAGUGUAUCUAGAAUGAC
Molecule: non-coding RNA, 792 nt
Filed under: Coenomyia ferruginea
Lineage: Eukaryota; Metazoa; Arthropoda; Insecta; Diptera; Xylophagidae
Source: RNAcentral